This 3006-nucleotide ribosomal RNA is filed under the name Coprinopsis strossmayeri. Its description in RNAcentral is "bacterial LSU rRNA". It matches the Rfam family "Bacterial large subunit ribosomal RNA". Lineage: Eukaryota; Fungi; Basidiomycota; Agaricomycetes; Agaricales; Psathyrellaceae. The record is from RNAcentral.
AUAACAAAGCCAAGUCUCAGUUUAAUUAAAACUGAAACUAGAGAGGAGAAUAAAACAUUAAUAAGCGAUCCUAAGGUAAAUCUUAAAAAAAUUAUAAAAACUUCCUGAAGUAAAACAUUUUAUUAAGGAAAGGAAAGGAAAUCAACCGAGACUCCGAAAGUAAUGGUGAGUGAAAUCGGAUUAGCCUAAAUUAAGUUUAUAUUUUAAAUAAUAAGUAUCGCUUAGGCGGUAAUAAUUGUAAUUACUACAAUUAACAAUUAGCAAUUGAAGCAAAUCAAUUGUUCUAAAAAUAGGUGUAUCGAGAGUAGUCCUAAUAAAAUAUAAACUUAAUAUUAUUAAUCUAGUUAUUUUAUCGCUUGCGGUAAGCAACCCGCUAGGCUAAGCUUACGCGGGAAGUGACGGGAUUCUUUUUUACCAAAGAAAGAUUCUACGUAUUAGGUCCUCUUUUUUAAGGAGGACAACUAGGAAAAAUUACGAUGAGAGAUAACUUGUCGGAAUACAGGGGAACCAUCCUCUAAGGCUAAGUAUUAUAAAUUUAGCGAUAGUGAAAAAGUACUGUAAAGGAAAAGUUUGAAAAGCAUGUAGUAUACAUAUCUAAAUUUAAAUUAUUAUUUAAUUUAGUAAGGUGAAAUAGAUCUUGAAUUAGUAAUUCUAUAAGCAGUCGAAAUUCUUAUUUUUAAAAUUAAAGAAUAACGGCGUACCUUUUGCAUAAUGGGUCAGCAAGUUAAUAUAAGUAGCAAGGUUAAAAGCCUAAGCGAAAGCGACUAUACUAAACAGGAUUUGGUUAGUUUUAAACAACCCUAUCCACAAAUUAGUACUGGAUAAGUUACUUAUAUUAGACCCGAAGCCAGGUGAUCUUACCAAGACCAGAUUAUAAUGGAUCGAACGGGUGAAUGUUGCAUAAUUCUCCGAUGAGUUUUGGUAAGAGGUGAAAUGCCAAUCUAACCUGGUGCUAGCUGGUUUUCUACCGAAACAUAUUUUAGUAUGAUGUCUACAAAUUAAAAAGAUUUAUGGAGGUACAGCAAGACAAUUCCCAACAAGUUAAAAUAUUUAUAUUUUAAUGCGUUUAGGUUGCGGGGAUCUAGCAAAUCUUACCUUUGGAAACGAAUCUCGGAAUUACAUAAAUUGAUAGUAGAUAUUCAGACUGCUCAUGCUAAGUUGGGCAGUCAAGACGGAAACAGCCGAGAACACUAAUCAAGGUCCCAAAGGAUUGUUAAGUGAAAUUAAGGACGUAGCAAUAUCAAAUACAGCUGUGAAGUGAGCCUGGCAGUCGCUACUUAUAAUGAACGUAUGUAACAACGCAACAGCAGUCAUCAUCUAUUGAUUUUUUUCGGUAGGUUGGUUUUUUUUUUUGUCACUAAGACCUAAUAAGAUCAACCUACUACAAAGAGUUAGCGGAUGAUUUUGAUAGUCGCGCCGAAAAUUCAACGGGUCUAAAACAAUCCACCGAUAUUGUGUUGAUUAAGACUUAAUAAAUAAUUAGUCUUAAUUUAGGUAGUAGAACAUUCAGUUUAACUGUUGAAAAAAUAGUGUUUCAUUAUUUAUUAGGUAACUGAAGAGAGAAUGCUGACAUGAGUAACGUAAAAAAUUCCUAAAAUGGAAUUCGCCGAAUACGAAAGGGUUGCAUAAGAAAGGUUAAUCCUCUUUGUGUUAAUGCGGCCUCUAAGGUAACUAGCCAUAGCUAUUACUGAUGAGUUUAUUAUAGAAAAUUAUUUAAUUAAUUUUAAAUAAUCAGGAAAUUAAUAUAACUGGGCCAGGGUUGAGUAGUAGGUUUAACUUACUUCACUUCCCAGGUACUGCUACCGUACCCUAAACCGACACAGGUUCGUAAGUAGAGUAUACUAAGGCGAAGAGCUAAAAGUUGUUAAGGAACUCGGCAAAUUCACCUCAUAAGUUCAACGAUAAGAGGUACCUUAAUUUUUUUAAAAAAAGGUGGCACAGAAUCGGAGGCCACGACUGUUUACUAAAAACACAACACAGUGCAAUCAUUAAUGUGAUAGUAUACUGUGUGAAAUUUGCCCAAUGCCAUUAAUAUAAGAACAAUCAUGGGAAUAUAAACUGUGAUUUAUCGAAAAUCUGGUUAAUAGCGGUCUUAACUAUGAGGAUCCUAAGGUAGCAAAAUCAAUUGGCCAUUAAAUGUGGUCCGGUAUCAAUAAUGUAACGAUGGUCUCACUGUCUCUACAACUUGCUCAGUGAAAUUGAAUUACGCGUGCAGAUGCGCGUUACCACCAGGGGGACGGGAAGACCCUAUGCAGCUUUACUGUAAUUAGUUAUCAUAUGAAUCUAGAACAACUUUAAUUAAUAGUGAAUAGGGAAAUCGAAAGAUAAAUAGUGGAAACCUUAUAAUUUAAGUUGGGUUUAUGUUAACCUAUAUUUAGAAUAUUACUUCACUAGGGAGAGUUGACUAAUUGGCAGUUUGACUGGGGCGGUCGUCUUUAAAAUAGUAGCAAAGUACAUCCAAAUUUUAAAAUUUAAAUAACAAUUACAAAAAAAAUUUAAGUUAUUUAGUUUAAUUGGCUUACUUUAAUUUUUAAUUAAAAUGGCCAAUUGGUCCCGCGUAAGCGAGGACCUACUCCUUGCUUUAUUGAUCUUUUUAGACUUAAUAAAAAAAAGGAGCCAGACUAAUUAAUUUAAAUUAUUAAUUUUUUUACAAGGUAUAGCUAGAAAUUGAAUGGAAAUCAAUCAACCAGUGAAGGGUUGCGCAGUGUUCAAUGGCGGUAAGCAUGCUUAACUGAGAGACUCAAAAGUCAAACAGAUACGUAAGUAGGGCAUAGUGACCCCUCGCUUUAGUAUGGGAUAGACGGGGAUCAAUUAAUAAAAGUUACGCUAGGGAUAACAGGCUGAUAGCCGACGAGAGUACACAUUGUCUCGGCUGUUUGGCACCUUAAUGAAAAAGCAAUAAUUAACAUAACAAAUACCCCUAAAUACCUCAUUUAUUGACAAGUUAUCGCAUUAGCGAAGAGGUAGCUCUUUAUAAAUAAAAUCUUAAGGUUGAGAGAAAAUUAA